RNAcentral lists this ribosomal RNA (477 nucleotides) under uncultured bacterium. RNAcentral describes it as "bacterial SSU rRNA". It matches the Rfam family "Bacterial small subunit ribosomal RNA", at positions 28 to 507 of the family's 1533-position model. The record is from RNAcentral.
GACGAACGCUGGCGGCAUGCUUAACACAUGCAAGUCGAACGAGAAUCUGCGGAUCAAGGAUUCGUCCAAGAGAAGCAGAGGACAGUGGCGGACGGGUGAGUAACGCGUGAGGAACCUGCCUUUCAGAGGGGGACAACAGUUGGAAACGACUGCUAAUACCGCAUAACGCGUAGAGGUCGCAUGGCCUUUACGCCAAAGAUUUAUCGCUGAAAGAUGGCCUCGCGUCUGAUUAGCUAGUUGGUGAGGUAACGGCCCACCAAGGCGACGAUCAGUAGCCGGACUGAGAGGUUGAACGGCCACAUUGGGACUGAGAUACGGCCCAGACUCCUACGGGAGGCAGCAGUGGGGAAUAUUGGGCAAUGGGCGCAAGCCUGACCCAGCAAUGCCGCGUGAAGGAAGAAGGCUUUCGGUGUAAACUUCUUUAGCAGGGACGAAGGACGUGACGGUACCUGCAGAAAAGCAACGGCUAACUACGUG